GAAAUGACAGCGGCGGCAAGGAGGAUACGGACCAAAGUGUCCCCGAAUUGCUCAAGGAUCAAUUUCCAAAUGGAGGGUCCCUCGUGCUUGUCCAGUUCAUUGAAGCCAUGGAUUUUGCGUCGUCUCUCAAUGUCCGCUGACAGGACCCCUGAUUUUUGGGUCACCUGGAAAUGGUUCUCACAUGCAUAAACGUGCUUAGCCCAAGCCGGGAACAAAUUGGGAUUAGUGAGGAAUCGAGGGCUAUUUCGAGGGCUGUUGGUUUCAAGCUUACCAAUGUUUUGGCCACCUCUCCCCAUACUAGAGCCUGUAAAAA
This 313-nucleotide unclassified non-coding RNA is filed under the name Hevea brasiliensis (rubber tree). Lineage: Eukaryota; Viridiplantae; Streptophyta; Magnoliopsida; Malpighiales; Euphorbiaceae. The record is from RNAcentral.